UGCCAAGAACAACACAUGUCCAGUUACAAAACAAUCUCUUAUUACGGGCAUAGAGUUGACCCCAAAUGUCACUCUUCGGAGAUUUAUCCAAUCGUGGUGUACUAUCAACGCGUCUCAUGGUAUUGAAAGGUUCCCUACACCAAAGCCUCCGGUUAGCAAACCACAAAUAAUAAAGCUCCUAAAAGAAGCGAAAUCGCCUAUGAUGCAAAUGAAAUCACUCAAGACCCUCCGAUCCAUUGCUUCUGAGAAUGAUGCUAACAAACGUUGCAUGGAAUCCGCGGGGGCAAUGGAGUUUUUAGCUUCUAUUAUUAAUAAUAAUAAUUCGAAUGAAGUGUUUGAAGAAGAAGAAGAGGGUUUCAUGAGUACUAAAGACGAAGCGCUUAGCAUCCUCUAUCAACUCAAAUUAUCCGAACAAGGAUUGAAGUCACUCAUCAUGAGUGGAAAUGGAGAAUUCAUUGAGUCAUUGACACAUGUCAUGCAACAUGGGAGCUAUGAGUCUAGGGCUUACGCGGUUAUGCUAAUGAAAGACAUGUUUGAAGUAUCCACACCAACUUUACUUUUGAGUUUGAAACAAGAAUUCUUCACACAAGUUGUUCAAGUCUUGAGGGAUGAGAUCUCUCAAAAGGCUACAAAAGCAUCAUUGCAAGUGCUAGUGCACGCGUGUCCAUUUGGUAGGAACAGAGUGAAAGCAGCAGAAGCAGGAGCAAUUAGGGUUUUGGUUGAUCUUCUGCUCGAUUCAUCUGAGAAAAGGGUUUGUGAAUUGAUGCUAAUUUUACUAGAUCAACUUUGUCUGAGCGCAGAAGGGAGAGCUGAGCUAUUGAAUCAUCCUGGAGGAUUAGCCAUUGUGUCCAAGAAAAUACUUAGGGUUUCAAAAGUAGGGAGUGAAAGGGCAAUCAAGAUCUUACAUUCAAUCUCAAAGUUUUCAUCAACACCAAGUGUUGUUCAAGAGAUGUUGAGUUUGGGUGUGGUGGCAAAGCUUUGUUUGGUGCUUCAAGUUGAUUGUGGAAGUAAAUCUAAGGAAAGAGCUAGAGAAAUUCUCAAAUUUCAUGCUAAGGCAUGGAGUAAUUCUCCUUGUAUACCUAAUAAUUUACUAUCUUCAUAUCCAUUUUAGGAAUUAGGUAGAAAUGAGCAAAAAUUGCUUAGUAGUGGAUUGUUUUUGUGUACAUAAUUUAUUCUUUUCAGAAAAUAGAAAAAAAAAUGGACAAAAUGGUCCAUGAAAUUUAAUUGUUCAUACAUAUUUCCAUCCUCAACAUUUUGAUUCCCUUCUUAUUUUGUAGCUCCAAUAGCAAGUAUAGAGUGGAAAUUUUUGAGAUCUUAAUGCUCUAUUAUUUCAGUAAGAAGUCCAUUGAAUCCCAAAUUCGCGUGAGGUCCAACGAAGGAUAUCAGUUUAAUGGGAUAAUGAAGACAGUCUAUCCUAAUACAAAUAUAAUCAUUAGUAAUAAAUUUAUAAUCCAACCCGUAAACUAUAAAUACACAAAGAUAAUUUUAGCGUUAUUCCAGAACGUAACUCCCAUUCAUAGUAAAUAUUACGAAUACUAUAUACAUAGUCAAGAAUUAGUAUUAUGUGUCUUUGCACACAGGAUUAAAUUUGAAAUCAUUAUUUUUGAGAAAAUUCUUUAAUUUGGUGAGAACCAGGUAUUAGACUUUUCAUCAUCUAAAAAUUUACAAUAACAUUCAAAAUAAUCAGCUCUUAUUAAUUAUUUGAACUUUACUAGAAGUUAAAAUUUUGUGAUUGUGAUAUGAGUGCAACUAGUCCCAAUGAAAGAAACAAGUAGUAAUAAUUAGAUGAACUUUGAAGAUUGUUGGACUUCAAAUCUAAGCCAAUAAUAUGAUGAUUUUGAAUUUUUCAUAAAUUUCAAAGAAUAAUAUAAAAGAAUGUGUCAUCUUAUAAGUAAUCUCUAAUAGAUUGUUUUUUUUUUAACCCGGAGAGAGAAUUUACGAUUGGGAUAGACAUGCUAAUUUCGGUAGAUAGACACUAAAAUUUAUAUUAAACAGGUAGACAGACACAUCAUACGUGACAUAAUAUAAAUAAGUUCGAAUAUAUCUUACACGAAUUGCCACUAAAAUGAGUUGUCUACUUGUUCAACUUUAUAUAAGUUCAAGUGUCUAUUUGUGUACACAUAAAAUUGAAAGGCAUAAAAUAUCACCUGAGGUCAAGUUAGAUGGGUAUAUCUAUGUAUUAUACAUAUCUUGAUUAUUAUACAAGAAAAAAAUUGUGUUCUUGCAUUGUUAAUGUUUAUUCUAUUGCAAAACUAUCUAAUUAUACAAAUAUUUCAAUUAAAUUUACCAAGUCUUCUUACAAUUUGAAAAAAUUGUAUAUUGUCUCACUAAUUAAUAAUGUCAUAUUAGAUUUCAAGUCAAAUUUAUUUAAAUACAUGUAUUUUUAAUUGCUACCAGAUACAGAUACACUAAAAUAGGGAGAGAGGUGAGUGAGAGAAGGAGAGAGGUGAGAGCGAGAUAGGAGGGAGGCGAGCUAAACAAUAUAUGUAUCCUAGAUAUAUGUGAAUCACAAUAGAUACAUGUAUCUAGGAUACCCAGAUACAUAUUAAAAUCCAAAUACAUAGGAAGAGAGGAUAGCGAGAAAGGGAGAGAAGCAAGUGAGAUAGGAGAGAAGGAGCGAGAUAGGAGAGAUGCGAGAGAGUCAGACGAUAUAUGUGAAUCCACUUGAAUACAAUGUAUCUACAACAAAUUACUCCUAAUUUUGACCUAAUGUAUCUAGACACGUAAGAUACAUGUUCGAAGUUCAAAUUCUGAUAAGAUUCGUCAUAUUAAAAUCUUGUAUAAAAGAAAACAAUUUACUCUUAAACUAGUGUAAUUUGUGUUAAUUGGCCUUAUUCUAUUUAUACAUAGGCUUAGAUUAACUUGAAUAGGCAAGCAAAUAUGACGGAAUAUUGCAAGCAAUAUUAAACUAGAUAAAUUAAAAGGUUGAAUCAAUUAAAAAAAUACAAGGUGAUUGUUAGAUAUAGCUAUAACUCUAAAUUGAUUUGAGCUAAUUAUUUAUUUUUAAAAAUUACAUAAAUUGAAACCUAGUAAUCUAGUUGUUGCCAACUGUUUCUUUCUCUCACUAAUAAAUAAAACACGAGUUAUUUAUAAAUAAAAAGGAUACAUUCAUGUGUUUUAUUACUUUUAGAGAGAGAAAGUCAAAAGUGAGCUGUUUUUUUCUUCUUACGUACACACAUUUAGGCCACCGAAAAUACACAUAAUAGACUACCCCUUUUGAGCUAGUAAUGUUUCCUUCGUUUUAUUUUACUUGAUCUGUAUGUUAAAAAUUGAUAUUUUAUAUCUAUCUAACAAUUAAUAAAAUUUAUUACAUAAAAUAGAAACUGAUAAAUUUAAAAUUUCAAAAAAUAAUUAAUCAAGUUAGUUUAUAUGGCUACAACUUUGAUUAAAAAAAUUUCAAGGCGGGUGUUAGUUCAACUAGGAUCAAAUAAUAUAAAACGGAGAGAGUAUUUAUUAAAGCGCUAAGCAAUUAUUCCUUUUAAAUUCUCCUUUCGUUAUUUUUUUUACUUAUUCACUAAAUUAAACAAUAUAUUUUACUUGUUAGCAUAUCAUACUCUAUGCUUAACAUGAAAUACUUAUUUUUCAAAACUUAAAACCAGACAUAAAUUAACAUAUUGUUUUUAUCAAGGAUAGAUAUAGUCUAAACUGAACAAGUAAAAAGUAAUGGAUGAGUAUUUAAAUAGUAUAAUUAAUAAAUACCCUUUGAAAAGUCUUAUUCUUCUAUUUGCGUGUUGACUUUGAAAAGCUCAAUCUACAAAUCAUAUAUAAGCACAACCAAAUCCUCUAUUUUUUCAAACCAAUUCACUACUCAUCUAAAGUUUCAACGAAUCAAAGUUUCCUCUUUUUUUUUGGUCAUAUUUGUAACUUUCCUAUAAGGAUUGAUCUCCUUCUUAGAUUAAUCUUGAAAAUUUCCAAAAUAUACAAAUGGAAGAAAUUCAAGUACCUUCUUAUUUUAUUUGCCCCAUUUCACUUGAGAUGAUGAAAGAUCCUGUUACGAUCUCUACAGGAAUAACAUAUGAUCGAGAAAACAUUGAAAAAUGGGUAUUCUCUGAAAAGAACAACACUUGUCCGGCUACGAAACAGUCUCUUACAUGCAUAGAGUUGACCCCAAAUGUUACUCUUCGACGAUUAAUCCAAUCGUGGUGUACUAUCAAUGCGUCUCAUGGUAUUGAAAGGUUCCCUACACCAAAGCCUCCGGUAAGCAAACCACAAAUCAUAAAGCUCCUAAAAGAAGCGAAAUCGCCUAAAUUGCAAAUGAAAUCUCUCAAGAGACUCAGAUCCAUAGCUUCUGAGAAUGAUGCUAACAAACAUUGCAUGGAAUCUGCUGGGGCAAUGGAGUUUUUAGCUUCUAUUAUUAAUAAUAAUAAUUCGAAUGAAGUGUUUGAAGAAGAAGAAGAGGGUUUCAUGAGUACUAAAGACGAAGCGCUUAGCAUCCUCUAUCAACUCAAAUUAUCCGAACAAGGAUUGAAGUCACUCAUCAUGAGUGGAAAUGGAGAAUUCAUUGAGUCAUUGACACGUGUCAUGCAACAUGGGAGCUAUGAGUCUAGGGCUUACGCGGUUAUGCUAAUGAAAGACAUGUUUGAAGUAUCCACACCAACUUUACUUUUGAGUUUGAAACAAGAAUUCUUCACACAAGUUGUUCAAGUCUUGAGGGAUGAGAUCUCUCAAAAGGCUACAAAAGCAUCAUUGCAAGUGCUAGUGCACGCGUGUCCAUUUGGUAGGAACAGAGUGAAAGCAGCAGAAGCAGGAGCAAUUAGGGUUUUGGUUGAUCUUCUGCUCGAUUCAUCUGAGAAAAGGGUUUGUGAAUUGAUGCUAAUUUUACUAGAUCAACUUUGUCUGAGCGCAGAAGGGAGAGCUGAGCUAUUGAAUCAUCCUGGAGGAUUAGCCAUUGUGUCCAAGAAAAUACUUAGGGUUUCAAAAGUAGGGAGUGAAAGGGCAAUCAAGAUCUUACAUUCAAUCUCAAAGUUUUCAUCAACACCAAGUGUUGUUCAAGAGAUGUUGAGUUUGGGUGUGGUGGCAAAGCUUUGUUUGGUGCUUCAAGUUGAUUGUGGAAGUAAAUCUAAGGAAAGAGCUAGAGAAAUUCUCAAAUUUCAUGCUAAGGCAUGGAGUAAUUCUCCUUGUAUACCUAAUAAUUUACUAUCUUCAUAUCCAUUUUAGGAAUUAGGUAGAAAUGAUCAAAAAUUGCUUACUAGUGGAUUGUUUUUGUGUACAUAAUUUAUUCUUUUCAGAAAAUAGAAAAAAAAUGGACAAAAUGGUCCAUGAAAUUUAAUUGUUCAUAUAUAUCCAUCUUCAACAUUUUGAUUCCCUUUUAUUUUUGAGAGCUUAAUGCUCUAUUAUUUCAGUAAGAAGUCUAUGAUAGACAUUUUAUUUGUCACUUUUUUUUUUUUGAAAUUUAAUCUACAUAAACUAUGAUAGACAUUUAUUAUCAUACAUCUCAAAUUAUUUGUCAACUAUUUUUUUUAAAAAUUAAUCUACAUAAACUAUGAUAGACAUUUAUUAUCAUCAUAUGAAUAUGAAAAGAAUUGAAUCUUGUAGUAAUACUUUUUUUGUCUUAUUACUCCCUUUUCCAACAAUAGUUGUCCACUAUUGACUUGAGAUAGUGAUUAAGAAAUAGUAAAUGAUAGAGGUAAUUUUAGCAAAUCACCCCUAUUAAAUAUAAAUUAUCUAAAUAUAAAAAUGAAUAGUAUUUAAUAGCAAAGGUAAAAUAGAUAUAAAUGAUAAAUUAUAUUAUAAUGAUUUUAUAAACUGAACAAAUAUUGUUGGACAUUCAAAAAUAGUAUAAUAAACAAAUAAUGACGAAGGGAGUGAGUAUUGAAAAAUAAAAUUCAAUAGAAUAUAAUCUAACUAUUGUUGGAAAAAAUAUAUUCUUAUUCAUUAUCAAUGAUUUUUCUUAAUUUGCUAUAAUAGUCCUUUAGCUGUUGAAGGUUUUGACUACUUUAUUGUAUGAUAUUUUUCCAUAUAUAUAUAUCCUGAGAAUAAUGUUUUUCUUUUACAGUAAAGAACAUUAAAAAAAAUUCUGAUUCUCCCUUUUUUUUGUUGGGAUAUCCACUUUUUAAAAAAAUUGUAAUUUUUAGAGUUCCUAAUUUAAUUUUAUAUUAGAAGAGCUUGUUGAAUUCUGGCGAUACACUUAAAUCCGGUGAAAUAUUUUGAAGAACAAUGUCAAUAGGCAUGCCUCAAUAGCUUCGAAAAUUUCUGUGGUUUUCCAACAACUAUUAAUUUCGAUAAUUCUUUAAGCUCCAAGAAUUUCCAUGAUUUUGCAAUAUUUUCAAUAAAUAUUAAUUUCGAUAAUACUUCAAGCUUAGAGAAUUUCCAUGAUAUUUAAAUAUUUUCCAAUAACUAUUAAUUUUGAUAGUUCUUCAAACUUCAAUUUUUUUAGAUAUUUUGUAACAUCUCGCACUUAGAAACGACUAUAAAGAGUUUAAAAAUAUGAAAAUAUUGAUUUUUGGAAAGGAUAAGAAAAUCUGGAAUUUUUUGUCUAAGUUAAGAAGUGAGUUUUGGCCUUUUUCAAACGGCCAUAACUCCUAGUUCAAGAUGAGUUAGGAGCAGAUCUGGAUAUUGUUGGAAACCUCUUGGAAUAAUCUUUCCAACGCCGCCGAGUUUGCGCGAUUCCGAGUUUGUAUGAGUAAGUUAUUCCCUUUGGAAGUUGGGUUAUUGGAUUAAGGAAAGUCCAAAUCCGGAUUUGUGAGGGGUAAACUAGUCUUUUCCUUACCUAAUUUGCCUAUUUCGUUUUUAGAAAUUAAUUGGGGUAAAACAAGACUUUAUUCAGUUUUAAAAAAAUUAGAUUUUACACUAGGGCUUGGAGAGAAGAAGAAAGAAGAGAAAAGAGGAGAGAAAUCAAGAAAUCGCCAAGAACAUUCAAGCUUUGCGAGUGGAAUUCAUCGGGGGUGAUCCCUACUAAGGUAUGUGAGAUUUAUUUCAUGUUGGGUUAGUUCACCCACACACUAACUUGUUUCAAUUUAGCAAAAUUGGAGUUGUUUGAAUGUUAAGAAAGUGAAGUUCUUGAAGAACAUUGUUGAAUUCUUGUGGGUUGAUUGUUGAAUGCCUAGUAUUGAUUUGAUUCGUGUUUCCGGGUUGUCUUUCGAGUUAAAUCUAUCAUGUAUUGAGGGUAUAAAUGAUCCUAAGUGUUUGGGGAAAGGACCACUGAAGUUUAGAGGGUUUAGAGAUGAAAAACGAAGGAGAAAAGUCGGGGAUUUUCUGGGCAAGGGCUUGGGGCGCUGCGCCUGCCAGAGCGCCACAAAAGUUCCUCUGAACUUUGGCCUCUGGCGCGUCGGGCCAGCCAGAGAGCCACAGGCAGCCCUCUGAAGUUUGAGGGCUGGCGCCCCGCGCCUCUCAGAGCGCCAGGGAUACCAGUUCUCCCCAUUCGUUCCUCACCUUCUCGUACUUGUUCCUAAGUGAUGUACCUAUGUUUUCUAGUUAAUUUCAACAAUCUAAAGUACAUCUAAACACCAUGAAAUCAUCCAUAAACAUGAGAUCAUGAACCUUGAAUCCAUAAUUCAAUUCAAGGAAAGUUAAGUUCAAAGUCAAAGAAGUUAAGAGUCAAGUCUAGAAGUUAAAAAGCAAGUCAAAGCAAAGUUUCUUAAAGUUUCCAAGGGUCUUUAACCAUGUUUUAUCGUCGUUUUAAGACCUAAGUUUUGAAGUUAAGCAAAGAGUAAAGCUAUGGUUUGAAGUUCUUUCUUCAAAGAGAUAUAUGGGGACUAUGUAUUCCCAAAGGAGUUUUAAAGAGAUGUUUUCACAUUUAAACGAGAUCGGAAACUGAGAUUUCCAAAGAUGCCUUUGGGCUAGUUUUCAGAAAAGAAUAAUGGCUUUCUAAAUGAAGCAAGCAGGUGAAAAUGAGAAUUCCAAGAUAGCCUUUGAGCUAAGUUUUGAGCACUAGUCUCAAAUCAGCAGAAAGAAAUAUGUUUUAAAAACAUAAGAGCCAUUACAUUUUUUGGAGUAGUAUUGAGCACCGAAUUGGGGGAGCGUUCAAAGAACCCACAACCCCCAUAGAACUAUGUAGCCACCAUGGGUAGAAGAGGUUCAUACCUUUUAGAUGAAUCCUUUUCAAAUUAGACUAGUGGAUCCAUUAGGCAGCUCAGGUCCUAUACUUUUGGCCGGGUAUAGGAUGCUCUGGCAGCGUGAGGUUGAUCGUUGUAUCAUCACUAUAGCUCUUAUGUGAUGGUUGUCGGUUAGAGAAACUCCCACAGCAGUUAUUGUAUUUUUAUAUACACCAGUUCAUUUGUAUUUCUACAUACAUCUCAGAUUUAUAGUAUCUUUGCAUUCAUACAGAGUUUAUAGCAUGUUUUAAAAUAGCUUUUCUUUAUAUUGCACUUGUUUUAAAUUGCUUUAUAUUGAAAUGAGUCAGUCAGGUUGAGUUGAGUUGAGCCAGGUAAGUUAUUCAGUUUCUUUUAGAUUUCCUUCUAGCCUAUGUUGCUUAGCAUUUCAACUCACAUACUCGUACAUUCAAUGUGCUGAUGUCAGUUGGCCUGCAUCGUCUUAUGAUGCAGAUUCAGGUAAUCAGGAUCAACAUCCAGCGCCUCGUUGAUCCAGUUGAGCAGCUCAGAGUCAGUGGUGAGCCUCCUUGUGUUCCGGAGGACUCUUUUUAUUCACUUUCAGUCUUUCAUUUAUUAGGAUGUUGUGGGGUUUGUCCCAACAUCCAUUUCAGUAUUUUAGAGGUUUCAUGGACAGUUAGAUAGUUAGUAGUUCAGUAGUCUUUACAUUAUUCAUUCAGUUGUUGUUUAAAGACUAAGUUGCCAUUUUGGCUAAAAUGUUAUUUCCUUAAGUUAUUGUUUAAACUUAUUAUGUUGAGAAAUUCUUCUGUUGAGUUCAGAAAGUCAGGCCAAGGGUUCGCUUGGGACUAGCGAUGAUCUUCGAGUGCCAGUCCCGCCUAGGGUGUAGGCUCGGGGAAUGACAUAUUUUUCAACAACUAUUAAUUUCGAUAAUACUUUGAAAAUUUGUGGACAUGAGUGCAACAAGUCCGUCAAUCGAAAGAAGGAAGCAUCAAGUGGUUAAGCUUUGAAUAUUGUAAUUAAUUGGACUUUAAAAUUUAGCCACUUAUUUUGAUGAUCCAUGAAUUCUCCAAAAGACUUCAGAAAAAUAAAUGUAAAUUUGUGUGAACUUAGUUGACUUUUCUAAUUUAUUGAAUUCAUCAUUAAUUAAAUUGGAUAAUUUGACUUGGAAAUUCAAUAGUAUAUACUAUGAGCUCAUUUCAACUUGUACCAUUUCUUUUGUAGCUAUUUUAGAAAAGGAUGGCUAUCUGUCAAAGUGUUUGUUAGGAUCAACUUGUAAGUUAAUACUUCUCCGUCUUAAAUUAUUUAUUGUAUUGUUUAUGCACUUUUUAAAAAGAUAAUAACUAUAAGAAAUUUUGAUUAUUUUACUUUUAUUUAUAUCUUGUGAUAUAGUCUUUCUAUUCAUUGAAUAAAACCCCAUAAUAAGUUUUAUGUGAUUAUCUUUUUUUUUAAAAAUACUAUCAAGAGUAAAAUAAGAAAAAAAUUAAUUAAUUUUAUCUUGAACUGCUAAAAUUCUGAAUGAUUUGAGACAAUUACUUUUGAAAAUCAAUAACAAUAACAUACCUAAUGUAAUCCUACAAGUGAGAUUUGAAAAAGACAAGAUAGAACAUGAUAUACAUAAUUAGUCUAUCUUUAAGGGAUAGAGAAUGUAACACCCCAUAUUCUACGUGUACUAGUUCUAUUUAUAUGACGCUUAUAAAUUUUCGUGUGGUAUAGUUAUGGACUCGGUUUCCUAUGCAACUAGUGACAAUAGAAUAGGUUUAAAGUAAACUGUCCAUAGAUUUUGAUGCGACCCGAUUAAGUUGACGUCGAUGUAAGUAUUUAAACUUGAGAUCAUAAGGUGGUAUUUGAGUCUAAAGUUUAAAUUGACAUAGUGUAUAUAAGUUUUAAGUUAAAUUAAAGGUAUUAAGGUCGAUAAAUGGAAUAAGAUAUUGAGGUGCUUGAUUGACAGGUGCUGAUUGACUACACUAAUCUAGUAGGUACAUCACCUACUUUGACUUAUUGACUAGCCCAAGGGACCAAGUAGGUGCAUCAACUACUAAGACUCUUUCGAUCAUGUUAUUGGGCCAAGUGCACUACCACCUACUUGCAUUAAUCUGGCCCAAGUUGAUUAGAAGAAUAAGGGGAAAAUGGACAGCCAAGGCCCAAUCUUUCCAACCCACAAGAAAUAAUUUGAAUGGAAAAGUAGGUGCAUCACCUACUUAAAUGUGUGGCCUAAAUUAAAGACACAUGUUGGCUGAAAAUGAAGUACAAGAAAGGUGGCAAAAGCCCCAAUGUUCUUAAGUCCAAAAAGGCCCAAGUGAAAAGUCCAAGUAGGUGGGUCACCUAUUUGACAAAUUAUGGCCCAAAAUGAGUAAGAAAGUCGGCCAAAGCAGGUCCCUUUAAAAGGGAUAGAUAUCAGCUUUUACCAACCAUUUUUACUUUGACAAAAGAAUCUGAUUUCUAGAGCAUUCUCUCUUCUCUCUCUUAGCUUCAUACAACAGCCAUUAAAUACCAUUAGGGUUCUUGAACAUGAGGGAGUUCAAGCUAUUGGAAUGUAUAAUUUAAGGCAACAUUUUACCUUGAAGAAUCCAAGUCUUAGCAAGUGGUAGUUCUGUCCAGCAAGGUAAGCUACUGCAAUUUUCUCCCUCUUGUGCUUGAGUAAAUUAGGACACUUGGUAUGUGUUAGUGAGUUGGAAAUUGUUACUUUUACAUGGUGUAAUAUUUGGGAGGUUGUUCUGGUGAUUAGUGCAUGUUGGGACAUCUAUGGAGGGGAGUCCUCUUUAAAUUCAGUUAUGAGCUUGUUUGAGCACUUUAAAAGUAAUGUUAGCUCUUCAAGUGUUGGUGAUCAGAAACCAUGAUCAUAUUGCUUCUGUUACAUUAUUAUGUUUAAGGAUUGCUUUAUGUAUGUUAUGAUAAGGGAUGUGAAUGGAUGUGCGGGAAAGUUAUGGAGACGUUAAAUGACUUAAAUAUUGCAGGGAGUUUUGGGGAGGACCUGAUACGAAGGUUGUACGGUAUAUAGACACGAUUAAAGGGAAAGGGAAGGAAAGAAAACACUGGCUAGAUAAAUUGCAUGCUUACUGCUUGGUUACUAUUUGGGUGAGAUCAAGUAGCUCAAAUUGAUUGAUUAGCUACUAAUACUAGUCUUACAACUUAUUUUAAUUGUAGAUUAGUAACCUAAAGAGAAGGAGCUUAAGUCAUACGUAUUGAAUUGUAUAGCAAGGUAUGUAAGGAUAUUCGAUUUCCAAUUUCUUCUACAUGAAUCCAAUACUUGUAAUACAAAGUAAGCUCUCUAAGUGCCCUUGGUAGUGACUGAUCCAUAGUUGCAGUUCCUACUCCCUAGAGCAGUAAAGUGAGUACUCUAAUAUGAGAUUGUUACUAAAUGUACGUGCUUACUCUACCAAGUAUUAGCAUGCAAGGUUUAAACUACUUUCUCUAUUGUACAUUUUAUAUGUACUUACUUGGAAUAUGUAUCCGUCCUAAAGUUAAAUCUACCCACGUUCUCCCUUGGUUUCACAUUCACGUAUACCUUGUAUUUGAUAUUAGUUAGUGAGUAUUUGACUAUCAUAUAGAGUUCAAAUCUCUUGGCUGAAUGUUAAAUGUCUUCACUUGAUAUGUGCUUCAAUUUGAAAUGUCAAAAUGCUUACUGAGUCAUAUAAGCUCUUAAGUAUUACACGUUCAUGUCUACAUUUGCUUCCCAUGUCAUUGUUAUUAUCGUAACUCCAUAUUCAUAUGUCUUCUACUACUGGUCCAUAGUUCCAAAUCUCAACAAUGAUUAUGACCACCAAAACAACAAUCUCAAAAGAGUUAUGGACAUCAAAACAAUAAUCUCAAAGAUUAAAGAGCCUAAGUGAAGCAAUAUGUAUAAUUAUGGGUGGCAGCCCAGGGGCAAAUGCCUAGCAUGGGUCGAUCCCAAUUGGUAUAGAAUGGUGGCAGCUCAGGGGCGAAAGCCUAGCAUGAGACGAUCCCAAUUGGUAUAAGAAGGUGGCAGCUCAGGGGUAAAAGUCUAGCAUGGGCCGAUCCCAAUUUGUGAAAUUAUGAGGACAGCAUCCCAGGGGUUAAAAUGUCUAGCAUGGGUCAUCCUCUUCUACCGCUGAUCAGCUGGUCAUUUGUAUCAUAUGUCUUAUAAUUAUUAUAAUGCAAAGAAAAGUAAAGAAAAUAAUGUAACAUACACGAUUCCACAAGUAUAAGCAAAGGUGGUAUGUAAUCCUUAUCUAUUGGUAUUUGAUUUCACUUGAGCUCUCAUUUUACAUAUGGUUUUAUUAUGCCUUACAUAUUCAGUACAUUCUUUCGUACUGACGUCCCUUAUUGGGGACGCUGCAUUUCAUGCUGCAGGUACAAGUACUCAACUAGUAGAUCUCCCCAAUAGAAGCACAAGAUACUCAAUGGUUGUUGGUGAGCUCCAGGUUGAUUCGGGACUUUGCCGAGUCUUUACUAUGGUUAUUUCAUAGUGGUACAAUCAUGGAUUCCAGUAGAGGCUUUGUAGACAUUGUAAAGCUAUCAUCUGAAUUCAUAGUUUCACUUGUCACAUGUAUCGGUUCAGCUAGUCAACAUGUGUUGUAUAUGAAGCUUCUCAUUAGUAAAUAUAUCUGCAUAGUAGUAGUUUACUUUCUCAUCAUAGGUUACUUGUAAAGCAUGUGUUCAUAUGGUACUUGUCCGCCUCACCUAGGGUUAGGGUGUGACAGAGAAGUUAUUCUAAUAGGACUCGAGACAAAUUUGUAAUAAGACAACAAAAUAAUAAGAUACAAAUCAAAUACAACAACCUAUAAUAAUACACAUCAAAAUUCAUCAUUCAAGAAAAAUAAUGUUUGUAUUUUUUUUAUAUAUAUAUAUAAGUGUAUUUUUCUCAAUAUUCCGAGAGAAAAAAUGCACACAAUAUUAUUGACCCUUGUUAAAUUCCUCGAGCUAAACUAUAUACAGAUACAUUUCUCUGUAACAAAUCACUCUCUAUAAUGAUAUUUUAUUAUAAAUUAAUUAUUUUUUAUAAUAACAUUUUAUUAUAAUAAUAGAAAUAUUACAUCGUUAAAAAAGUUUGAUUACCACCCAAAUGUAUUGCCUAAUGAUCAAUAAAGUGAGUUAAGCAUCAUGAGGUCUCAUCAAAUUAAAUAUCAGCAGAAACAAAAUAUUAGGUGAUUUGUUUUCAUAUGUUCUAACUUUGGUGAACAAAAUUACUUCAUACAUGUUGUUGAUGGAAGAUAAUAUGUACUCUAUAAAAUUAACCGAGAUACGUGCAAACUGGCUUGAAUACCACGAUUAUAAUAAAAUAAAAACAGUUUGAUUGGAAUGCUUCAAUUAGUACCUAUUCUUAACUGCCAACUAGUGCAACAUGAAAUAAAAAUAACCUAUUGAAAAUUUCUUUGAAAUUUUGAGUACUCAAAAGAAAAUUUCAAUUAAAACCUGGUCUUAACUACCAACUGCAACAUGAACUAUAAAUAACCUGUUGAAAAUUUCAUGCAAAUUUUCACUACUCAAAAAAAAAAAAAAAAAAAAAAUAAUACGUAAGAAAUAAAUAAAAAGACAAGAGAAUUGGUAAAGGUCAAAAUGGUGAAGAACUAGUAACUUUGUGCAAGUCUUUUAUUUUUAUUAAAAUUCAUUAAAUAUUUAUAGUUAUAUAAUUGUGAACUAAGAUACUAUUGUGUAUUAACUUAGAGAGUAGAGACUACUGUACGAAUAUAUAAAUUUCAAAUUUUUAAUCCUCCUAAUAUAAAUCGCAGUUGAUAAGGAAAAUUAAACAAUAACCAAAACCCAUCAUCAGCAUUAUUUUAUAUUAAAAAUAUAUUUUACAUGGUGUCUGCAUUGGAGCCCCGAUUAAAUAUGUAUCAUGCAUUGCAGGUUCCAUUUUGGGGGUGGAGCUUUCAACAUAAUUUUUUUCAUACCCAAGGCUUGAACCCGAGACAUCAAAUUAAUAGUGGAGCAGUUCCACCAUUAUACCUAAUAUUAAUUUUAUUUCAAAUGAUUUAACCUUAAAAGUUUUCUUUAUACUCAUCAGAGAUAACAUUAUUUUUAUAAUAACAUAAAUUAAAUAUAUAAUAUAUUUUAAAAUUUCAUGUUUAAUCAAAUUAAUAACGUGAAUAAAAAAUUAAAAGCAAGUCUUGUCGGCAGUCUUUAUUUACACUAAUAAAACACGAGUUUAUAAUACAUAAAAUAAAACGACUCCUAAUAUAAAUCGCAGUUGAUAAGGAAAAUUAAACAAUAACCAAAACCCAUCAUCAGCAUUAUUUUAUAUUAAAAAUAUAUUUUACAUGGUGUCUGCAUUGGAGCCCCGAUUAAAUAUGUAUCAUGCAUUGCAGGUUCCAUUUUGGGGGUGGAGCUUUCAACAUAAUUUUUUUCAUACCCAAGGCUUGAACCCGAGACAUCAAAUUAAUAGUGGAGCAGUUCCACCAUUAUACCUAAUAUUAAUUUUAUUUCAAAUGAUUUAACCUUAAAAGUUUUCUUUAUACUCAUCAGAGAUAACAUUAUUUUUAUAAUAACAUAAAUUAAAUAUAUAAUAUAUUUUAAAAUUUCAUGUUUAAUCAAAUUAAUAACGUGAAUAAAAGAUUAAAAGUAAGUUGUCCUGUCGGCAGUCUUUAUUUACACUAAUAAAACACGAGUUUAUUAUACAAAAAAUAAAACUAAAUAUAUAUUAUUUUUAUUUUGUACUUUAUAGAUAGAAAAAGUCAAAAUGUGUUCACUUUUUUUCCUACGUAUACAUGUAACUUGGCCUAUUUAAUUUGCCGUGUUUAAUUUUGACUUUAAAAACCUCUUUCCAAUAUUCUCAACUUAUAUAUAUAUAACCAUAAAAGCUUAAACUUCUUCAUCUACUCAAAAUAACAAAAAAAUAUUCUCUUGUUCUUAAUUUCUCCUUCUUUGAUUAAUCUUGAAAUUUUCCAAAAUAUACAAAUGGAAGAAAUCCAAGUACCUCCUUAUUUUAUUUGCCCGAUUUCUCUAGAGAUGAUGAAAGAUCCAGUCACGAUCUCGACUGGAAUAACAUAUGAUCGAGAAAACAUCGAAAAAUGGAUAUUCUCGGCAAAGAACAACACUUGUCCGGCUACGAAGCAGUCUCUUACAUGCAUAGAGUUGACCCCAAAUGUCACUCUUCGGAGAUUUAUCCAAUCGUGGUGUACUAUCAAUGCGUCCCAUGGUAUUGAAAGGUUCCCUACACCAAAACCUCCGGUUAGCAAACCACAAAUAAUAAAGCUCCUAAAAGAAGCAAAAUCGCCUAAGAUGCAAAUGAAAUCUCUCAAGAGACUCAGAUCCAUAGCUUCUGAGAAUGAUGCUAACAAACGUUGCAUGGAAUCCGCGGGGGCAACAGAGUUCUUAGCUUUUAUUAUUAAUAAUUCGAAUGAAGUGUUUGAAGAAGAGGGUUUCAUGAGUACUAAAGACGAAGCGCUUAGCAUCCUCUAUCAACUCAAAUUAUCCGAACAAGGGUUGAGGUCACUCAUCAUUAGUGGCAAUGGAGAAUUCAUUGAAUCUUUGACACGUGUCAUGCAACAUGGGAGCUAUGAGUCUAGGGCUUACGCGGUUAUGCUAAUGAAAGACAUGUUCGAAGUAUCCACACCAAAUCUACUUUUGAGUUUGAAGCAAGAAUUCUUCAUACAAGUGGUUCAAGUCUUAAGGGAUGAGAUCUCUCAAAAGGCUACAAAAGCAUCAUUGCAAGUGCUAGUGAACACGUGUCCAUUUGGGAGGAACAAAGUGAAAGCAGCAGAGGCAGGAGCAAUUAGGGUUUUGGUAGAUCUUCUGCUCGAUUCAUCUGAAAAAAGGUCGUGUGAAUUGAUGUUAAUUUUGUUGGAUCAACUUUGUCAGAGCGCAGAAGGGAGAGCUGAGCUAUUGAAUCAUCCCGGAGGAUUAGCCAUUGUGUCCAAGAAAAUACUUAGGGUUUCUAAAGUGGGGAGUGAAAGAGCAAUCAAGAUCUUACAUUCAAUCUCAAAGUUUUCAUCAACACCAAGUGUUAUUCAAGAGAUGUUGAGUUUGGGUGUGGUGGCAAAGCUUUGUUUGGUGCUUCAAGUUGAUUGUGGAAGUAAAGCUAAGGAAAGAGCUAAAGAAAUUCUCAAAUUUCAUGCUAAGGCAUGGACGAAUUCUCCUUGUAUACCUAAUAAUUUAUCAUCUUCAUAUCCAUUUUAGGAAUUAGGAUAGAAAAAAAAGUAAAAAUUGCUUAGUAGUGGAUAAUAUUUGUGUACAUAAUUUAUUCUUUUUAGAAAAUAGGAAAAAAAAAAAAAGAAGGACAAAAUAGUCCAUGAAAUUUAGUUGUUCAUAUUCAUCUUCAACUUUUUUGAUUCUCUUCUUAUUUUUGUAUCUCCAAUUGCAAGUAUAGAGUGGUUAUUUUUGAUAUAUAUGAUUUCAUUAAGAAGUCUAUUGCAUCCCACAUUCGCGUAAAGUCAUGAAAUGACAUAUGUAAUAUACACAGUCUAGCCUGAAACACAAAUAUAAUCACUAGUAAGAAAGUCAUAGUUCAACCCGUAAACUAUAUAUUACACGAAGAUAAUUUUAGCGUUAUUCCACGACGUAACUCCCAUUCAUAGUAAAAACUGUGAAUACUAUAUACAUAUAGUCAAAAACUAGCAUACUGUGUCUUUGCACACAAGAUUGAAAAUUGAAAUCAUAAUUUUAGAGAAAACUCUUUUAUUUGGUGAGAACCAGGUAUUAGACUUUUCACAAUCUAAGAAACUACAAUAACAUUCAAAAUAAUCAGCUCUUAUUUAUUAUUUGAACUUUACUAGAAGUUAAAAUUUUGUGAUUGUGAGAUGAGUGCAACUAGUCCCAAUGAAAGAAACAAGUAUUAAUAAUUAGGUGAACUUUGAAGAUUGUUGGACUUUAAAUCUAAGCCAAUAAUAUGAUGAUUUUGAAUUUUCAUAAAUUUUAAAGAAUAAUAUAAAAUAAAGUGUCAUCUUAUUAGUAAUAAUCUCUAACAGAUUGGUUUUUUUUAACCCGGAGAGAGAAUUUACGAUUGGGAUAGACAUAUGCUAAUUUCGGUAAGGAGACACUAAAAUUUAUAUAAAGUUAAACAGGUAGACAGACACAUCAUACGUGACAUAAUAUAAAUAAGUUUGAAUAUAUUUUACAUGAAUUGUCACUAAAAUGUGUUGUCUACUUGUUCAACUUUAUAUAAUUAUUUAAGUGUCUAUUUGUGCACGUCACCUAAAAUUGAAAGGCAUAAAAUAUCACAUGAGGUCAAGUUAGAAGGGUAUAUCUAUGUAUUAUACAUAUCUUGAUUAUUAUACAUAAAUUGAUUAUGUUCUUGCAUUGUUAAUGUUUAUUCUAUUGCAAAACUAUCUAAUUAUACAAAUAUUUCAAUUAAAUUUACUAAGUCUUCUUAUAGUUUGAAAUAAUUGUAUAUUGUCUCACUAAUUAAUAAUGUCAUAUCAGAUUUCAAGUCAAAUCUACUUAGAUACAUGUAUUUUUAAUUGCUACCAGAUACAAAUACACUGAAAUAGGGAGAGAGGUGAGUGAGAGAAGGAGAGAGGUAAGAGCGACAUAGGAGGGAGGCGAGCUAAACAAUCUAUGUAUCCUAGAUAUAUGUGAAUCACAAUAAAUGCAUGUAUCUAGGAUACCCAGAUACAUAUUAAAAUCCAAAUGCAUAGGGAGAGAGGAUAGCGAGAAAGGGAGAGAAGCAAGUGAGAUAGGAGAGAGGGAGCGAGAUAGGAGAGAUGCGAGAGAGUCAGACGAUAUAUGUGAAUCCACUUGAAUACAAUGUAUCUGCAACAAAUUACACCUAAUUUUGACCUAAUGUAUCUGAGAUACAUGUACCUAGACGCGUAAGAUACAUGUCCAAAGUUCAAAUUCUGAUAUAAUUCGUAAUAUUAAAAUCUUGUAUAAAAGAAAAUAAUUUACUCUUAAACUAGUGUAAUUUGUGUUAAUUGGCCUUAUUCUAUUUAUACAUAGGCUUAGAUUAACUUGCAUAGGCAAGCAAAUACGCGACAGAAUAUUGCAAGCAAUAUUAAACUAGAUAAAUUAAAAGGUUGAAUCAAUUAAAAAAAAUACAAGGUGAUUGUUAGAUAUAGCUAUAACUCUAAAUUGGUUUGAGCUAAUUAUUUAUUUUAAAAAAUCACAUAAAUUGAAACCUAGUAAUCUAGUUGUUGCCAACUGUUUCUUUCUCUCACUAAUAAAUAAAACACGAGUUAUUAUAAAUAAAAGGGUACAUUCAUGUGUUUUUAUUACUUCUAGAGAGAGAAAGUCAAAAGUGAGUUGUUUUUUCCCUUACGUACACACAUUUUUAGGCCACCGAAAAUACACAUAAUAGACUACCCCUUUUAAUCUUGUAAUGUUUCCUCCGUUUUAUUUGGCCAAAAAACUACAUGCAAUCAAUACGUGUCUCUCUUGAAGGCAAACAAUGUUUACUAUCAUAUCUUUUAGCACGUAAUGAAUUAGGUGAGUCAUGACAUAUGAAAUUGUAGGUCAAUGAGUUUUCUUUCAAAUGCCACCAAUUUUGUAUCAUUUAAUGUUUAAAGUAAAGCAUUAUGACCAUUUUAUCAGAGACUAGUAUAGUGUAAAUAACAGAAACUUCGAACGUUCAUAAUUUUGGCUUUAAAUGUUAUAUCUUUCAGUACUUUCUUUGGUAGUAGGAAAAUUGCAGCCCAAUACGAGUGCAUGUGCAUUAGUACCGAAUUGACUAGCAUCACUCUUCCUGCAUACGAUAGGUUUCUUGAUCCUCAUACUUUAACUCUCACAACCAAUUUAUCCACCAAUACCUCACAAUCCCCUACUGAGAGUCUUUUUGCUGAAAUAGGUAACCCUAAAUACCUAAAAGGUAGUUUACCUUUUGCGUACCCUGUCACCUCACACAGGUCCUCCAAUUCUUGUUUAUCCAUGCUUGCUGAAAAUAUAUUCAAUUUUGCAGCAUUGGUCGUUAAACCUGAAGCCUCAGAAAAUGUCAACAGUCCACUCAACAUCAUCAUCACUGAUUUGUAUUAUCCUUUACUAAAUAUGAGCAUGUCAUCUACGAAACAUAAGUGAUUUAAUUGCAAACUUUUAUAUUUCGUAUGGUACUUAAAACCUUCCUGAUUCGCCACCCAUCUCAUUACUCUUGUGAAAUAUUCCAUACAAAUUACAAAUAAUAAUGGGGAUAUUGUUAGGUUAGGUCUUAGGCCUAACUCACACCCCAAAAGCUAGCUCAAAGGGAGGAGGAUUGCCCAAGCCUUAUAAGGAGUCCACCCAUCUCAUUAACCACCGAUGUGGGACUUUUGUCAUUCUUUAAUAGAUAUUGGAUCCCCUUGCCUCAAGCCUUUUUUUCCGUGCAAUGCUACCAUACACUCCACCAUUAAGUGCUAUGUUGUAUUGUGUAGUUGACACACAUUCCAUUAUCCAGCCAAUGAAUUUCUGGGGGAAAUUAAUUAAGCCCAUGCAACAUUUCUUUCACAAAUUCCCACUCCACACUGUCAUAAGCCUUCCUUAGAUCAAUCUUUAUGAGACAACUCCUUGUAGUAUUCUUUCUGUUAUAUAAUCUGACAUAUCAUUAUAUUCUGUACAAUAGAUCUGCUAGCCAUAAAAGCACUUUGAUUACUGGAUAUUAUCCCUGGCAGUACCCUCUUCAACCUAAUACACAGCAUUUUGGAGAUAGUUUUGUAUAUAACAUUACAACACGAUAUUGGUCUAAAAUCUCCCACCGAUUCAACAUGACUACACUUUGGGAUCAAUGUUAUUGUGGUUCUAUUCAUACAUGUAAGUAGUCUCCCCGUAUUGAAAAAUUCCAGCACUCCUUCCACGACAUCCUCACUUAACCAUACCUCAUUUGAAAUUAUAAAUACCUAUAAUUAUCCAUUUGAACUAAUACACAUAAUUUAUUAAAUCAUCACAAACACCCACAAAAAAAUUUGGUCAAAAAAUUACAUGCAAUCAGUGUGUGCCUCUCUUGAAGGCAAACAAUGUUUACUACCAUAUCUUUUAGUACGUAAUGAAUUAGGUGAGCCAUGACAUAUGAAANNNNNNNNNNNNNNNNNNNNNNNNNNNNNNNNNNNNNNNNNNNNNNNNNNNNNNNNNNNNNNNNNNNNNNNNNNNNNNNNNNNNNNNNNNNNNNNNNNNNNNNNNNNNNNNNNNNNNNNNNNNNNNNNNNNNNNNNNNNNNNNNNNNNNNNNNNNNNNNNNNNNNNNNNNNNNNNNNNNNNNNNNNNNNNNNNNNNNNNNNNNNNNNNNNNNNNNNNNNNNNNNNNNNNNNNNNNNNNNNNNNNNNNNNNNNNNNNNNNNNNNNNNNNNNNNNNNNNNNNNNNNNNNNNNNNNNNNNNNNNNNNNNNNNNNNNNNNNNNNNNNNNNNNNNNNNNNNNNNNNNNNNNNNNNNNNNNNNNNNNNNNNNNNNNNNNNNNNNNNNNNNNNNNNNNNNNNNNNNNNNNNNNNNNNNNNNNNNNNNNNNNNNNNNNNNNNNNNNNNNNNNNNNAUGAAAUUGUAGGUCAAUGAGUUUUCUUUCAAAUGCCACCAAUUUUGUAUCAUUUAAUGUUUAGUGUAAAGCAUUAUGAACAUUAUACCAAAGACUAAUGUAGUGGUAAAUAAGAGAAACUUCGAACGUUCAUAAUUUUGGCUUUAGAUGCUAGUUUCGGGUAUAGAAAAACUCUAUUGCAUGGUCCAUACCUCAUUUGAACUUAUAAAUACCUAUAAUUACCCAUUCGAACCAACACACAUAAUUUAUUAAAUCGUCACAAAGACCCACAAAAAAUUUUGGUAAAAAAACUACAUGCAGUCAAUGUGUGCCUCUCUUGAAGGCAAACAAUGUUUACUACCAUAUCUUUUAGUACGUAAUGAAUUAGGUGACCCAUGACAUAUGAAAUUAUAGGUCAAUGAGUUUUUCUUUCAAAUGCCACCAAUUUUGUAUCAUUUAAUGUUUAAAGUAAAGCAUUAUGGCCAUUUUACCAGAGACUAGUGUAGUGUAAAUAAGAGAAACUUCGAUACAUGUAUUUUUAAUUGCUACCAGAUACACUGAAAUAGGGAGAAAGGUGAGAGCGAGAUAGGAGGGAGGCAAGCGAAAUAAUCUAUGUAUCUCAGAUACAUGCAAAUCACAAUAGAUACAUGUAUUUAGGAUACCCAAAUACAUUAUGGAAUACAAAUACAUAGGGAGAGAGGAUAGCGAGAAAGGGAGAGAUGCAAGUGAGAUAGGAGAGAGGGAGCAAGAUAGGAGAGAGGCGGGAGAGUCAAACGAUAAAUGCAAAUCCAUACAAUGUAUCUGCAACAAAUUACACCUAAUUUUAACCUAAUAUAUCUGAGAUACAUGUAUCUGGACGCGUAAAAUACAUGCAUCUGAAAUUCAAACUUUGGUAAGAUUCAUAAUAUUGAAAACUCACAUGAAUGAAAAUAAUUUACUCUUAAACUAGUAAAAUCUGUAUUAUUUAACUUUAUUCCACUGAUACAUAGGUUUAGAUUAACUUGAAUAGGUAAGCAAAUACGCGACGAAAUAUUGCAAGCAAUAUUAAACUAGAUAAAUUAAAAGGUUGAAUCAAUUAAAAAAUACAAGGUGACUGUUAGAUAUAGCUAUAACUCUAAAUUUAUUUGAGCUAAUUAUUUUUUAAAAAUAGUCACACAAAUUAAAACAGAGUAAUCUAAUAGUUGCCAACUGUUUCUUUCUCUCACUAAUAAAUAAAACACGAGUUAUUAUAAAUAAAAAGGGUACAUUCAUGUGUUUUUAUUACUUCUAGAGAGAGAAAGUCAAAAGUGAGCUGUUUUUUUUUCCUUACGUACACACAUUUAGGCCACCGAAAAUACACAUAUUAGACUACCCCUUUUAAGCUAGUAAUGUUUCUUUAGUUUUAUUUUACUUGAUUGCUAUAUUAAAAAUUAAUAUUUUAUUUUAUAUAUCUAUUUAAUAAUUAGUAAAAUUUAUUGCAUAAAAUAACAACUGAUAAAUUUAGAAUUUCAAAAAAUAAUUAAUCAAGUUGGUUUAUAUGGCUACAACUUUGAUUAAAGUUUUUUCAAGGCGCGUGUUAGUUCAACUAGGAUUAAAAAAUAUAAAACGGAGAGAGCAUUUAUUAAAGCGCUAAACAAUUAUUCUUUUUAAAUACUCCUUUUAUUAUUAUUUUUACUUAUUCACUAAACUAAACAAUGUAUUUUACAUGUUAACAUAUCAUGUUCUACGCUUACCAUUAAAAUACUUAUUUUUCAAAAUUUAAGACUAGACAUUAAUUAAAAUGUUGUUUUGUCAAGGAUAGGUAAAGUCUAAACUGGACAAGUAAAAAGUAAACGGAUAGAGUAUUUAAAUAGUAUAAUUAAGAAAUACCCUUUGAAAAGUCUUAUUCAUCUAUUUGCGUGUUGACUUUGAAGAAUCUCAAUCUCCGACUCAUAUAUAUAAACACAACCAAAUCCUCUAAUUUUUCAAACCAAUUCACUACUCAUCUAAACUCUCAACAAAACUUUAUCUACUCAAAAUAUUCCUUUUAUUUUUUUUUGGUCAUAUUUGCAACUUUCUUAUAAGAUUAAUCUCCUUCUUUGAUUAAUCUUGAAAUUUUCCAAAAUAUACAAAUGGAAGAAAUUCAAGUACCUCCUUAUUUUAUUUGUCCAAUUUCUUUAGAGAUGAUGAAAGAUCCUGUCACAAUCUCCACAGGAAUAACAUAUGAUCGAAAAAUGGAUAUUCUCUGCGAAGAACAACACUUGUCCGGCUACGAAGCAGUCUCUUACAUGCAUAGAGUUGACCCCACAUGUCACUCUUCGGAGAUUUAUCCAAUCGUGGUGUACUAUCAAUGCGUCCCAUGGUAUUCAAAAGGUUCCCUACACCAAAACCUCCGGUUAGCAAACCACAAAUAAUAAAGCUCUUAAAAGAAGCAAAAUCGCCUAAAUUGCAAUUGAAUUCUCUCAAGAGACUCAGAUCCAUAGCUUCUGAGAAUGAUGCUAACAAACGUUGCAUAGAAUCCGCGGGGGCAAUGGAGUUCUUAGCUUCUAUUAUUAAUAAUAAUAAUUCGAAUGAAGUGUUUGAAGAAGAAG
Molecule: long non-coding RNA, 22834 nt
Filed under: Solanum tuberosum (potato)
Lineage: Eukaryota; Viridiplantae; Streptophyta; Magnoliopsida; Solanales; Solanaceae
Description: long non-coding RNA (STUB_LNC001229)
Source: RNAcentral